AUGAAGCCUUUUAGUGGGGAGGAGAUUACACGUGCUCUGAACAGUAUUGGGGAUCUUAAGGCCCGGGGUCCGAAUGGGAUGCCGGCGAUUUUCUACAAAAAGUUCUAGGAGAAGAUGGAAGCUAAAAUUCAAGAGGAAGUCCUGAGUGUUUUGAACGGUGGUGACAUGCCCGUGGGGUGGAAUGAGACAAUUAUAGUGUUGAUCCCGAAGGUAAAGAACCCUGAUCAUCUCACCCAAUAUUGUCCAAUUAGCCUUUGCAAUGUUCUUUAUAAACUUAUCUCAAAGGUCUUGGCAAACCACUUGAAGGUCAUCCUCCCGGAUAUCAUAUCCCCGACCCAAUCUGCUUUCGUGCUGAGGCACAUGAUCACGGAUAAUGUAUUGCUAGCAUAUGAGAUCACCCACAUGAUGCAUAGGAAGAAAGGAGGCCGAGACAGGCUGGUGGCGGUCAAAUUGGACAUGAGUAAAGCCCAUGACAGGGUGGAAUGGGACUUCCUUGAGAAAAUGAUGGUGCAUAUGGGCUUCUCGAAUGCCUGUGUUAGUAUUAUUAUGAACUGUGUGCGAUCUAUUUCAUACCGAGUGAAAGUGAAUGGCAAACUAACUGAGGCUUUCCUUCCUCGGCAGGGUCUCCGGCAGGGCGACCCAUUAUCAUCGUACCUAUUCAUCUUAUGUGCAGAAGCUUUCUCCAUCCUUCUGCAGCAUGUUGAGCUUGAUCAUACGAUUGAGGGGAUCCAGAUCUGCCCACAAGCACCCAGAAUCAACCAUCUAUUUUUUGCGGAUGAUUUAAUCAUUGUUAUGAAAGAAACAGUGGCUAGUGCGGAGAAGCUCCAGCAAGUCUUGGCUUUGUAUGAAGCUCAGUCGGGCCAGAUGAUCAACAAAGAUAAGUUGUCUGCUUUCUUUAGCAAGGGUACGAGUGGACCUCCGAAACAACAAGUGCUCAGUGUGCUCCACAUUCCAUCUGAAUCAAAAAACGAACAUUACUUGGGGCUCCCAGUUCACCUGGGGGCUGCAAAAAGUAAAGAAUUUGAAUAUUUGAAAGAGAAAAUCUGGAAGCGUAUACAGGGCUGGAUUGAAAAACUGCUCACGAAGGUGGGUAAAGUGUUGGGGAACGUAGCAUAA
This 1116-nucleotide ribosomal RNA is filed under the name Triticum aestivum (bread wheat). RNAcentral's name for it is "partial small subunit ribosomal RNA". Lineage: Eukaryota; Viridiplantae; Streptophyta; Magnoliopsida; Poales; Poaceae. The record is from RNAcentral.